This 497-nucleotide ribosomal RNA is filed under the name uncultured bacterium. RNAcentral describes it as "partial 16S ribosomal RNA". It matches the Rfam family "Bacterial small subunit ribosomal RNA", at positions 28 to 507 of the family's 1533-position model. The record is from RNAcentral.
GAUGAUCGCUGGCGGCGUGCCUAAUACAUGCAAGUCGAGCGAACAGACGAGGAGCUUGCUCCUCUGACGUUAGCGGCGGACGGGUGAGUAACACGUGGAUAACCUACCUAUAAGACUGGGAUAACUUCGGGAAACCGGAGCUAAUACCGGAUAAUAUAUUGAACCGCAUGGUUCAAUAGUGAAAGACGGUUUUGCUGUCACUUAUAGAUGGAUCCGCGCCGCAUUAGCUAGUUGGUAAGGUAACGGCUUACCAAGGCAACGAUGCGUAGCCGACCUGAGAGGGUGAUCGGCCACACUGGAACUGAGACACGGUCCAGACUCCUACGGGAGGCAGCAGUAGGGAAUCUUCCGCAAAGGGCGAAAGCAUGACGGAGCAACGCCGCGUGAGUGAUGAAGGUCUUCGGAUCGUAAAACUCUGUUAUUAGGGAAGAACAAAUGUGUAAGGAACUAUGCACGUCUUGACGGUACCUAAUCAGAAAGCCACGGCUAACUACGUG